Molecule: ribosomal RNA, 449 nt
Filed under: Pseudomonas sp.
Lineage: Bacteria; Pseudomonadati; Pseudomonadota; Gammaproteobacteria; Pseudomonadales; Pseudomonadaceae
Description: bacterial SSU rRNA
Rfam family: Bacterial small subunit ribosomal RNA
Source: RNAcentral
CUGGGUUGGUAAAAGUGCUGCUCGCAGCUGAUGCAGCCAUGCCGCGUGUAUGAAGAAGGCCUUCGGGUUGUAAAGUACUUUCAGCGGGGAGGAAGGGAGUAAAGUUAAUACCUUUGCUCAUUGACGUUACCCGCAGAAGAAGCACCGGCUAACUCCGUGCCAGCAGCCGCGGUAAUACGGAGGGUGCAAGCGUUAAUCGGAAUUACUGGGCGUAAAGCGCACGCAGGCGGUUUGUUAAGUCAGAUGUGAAAUCCCCGGGCUCAACCUGGGAACUGCAUCUGAUACUGGCAAGCUUGAGUCUCGUAGAGGGGGGUAGAAUUCCAGGUGUAGCGGUGAAAUGCGUAGAGAUCUGGAGGAAUACCGGUGGCGAAGGCGGCCCCCUGGACGAAGACUGACGCUCAGGUGCGAAAGCGUGGGGAGCAAACAGGAUUAGAUACCCCGGUAGUCCA